UGGCGGCAGGCCUAACACAUGCAAGUCGAGCGGUAGAGAGAAGCUUGCUUCUCUUGAGAGCGGCGGACGGGUGAGUAAUACCUAGGAAUCUGCCUGAUAGUGGGGGAUAACGUUCGGAAACGGACGCUAAUACCGCAUACGUCCUACGGGAGAAAGCAGGGGACCUUCGGGCCUUGCGCUAUCAGAUGAGCCUAGGUCGGAUUAGCUAGUUGGUGAGGUAAUGGCUCACCAAGGCUACGAUCCGUAACUGGUCUGAGAGGAUGAUCAGUCACACUGGAACUGAGACACGGUCCAGACUCCUACGGGAGGCAGCAGUGGGGAAUAUUGGACAAUGGGCGAAAGCCUGAUCCAGCCAUGCCGCGUGUGUGAAGAAGGUCUUCGGAUUGUAAAGCACUUUAAGUUGGGAGGAAGGGCAGUUACCUAAUACGUGAUUGUCUUGACGUUACCGACAGAAUAAGCACCGGCUAACUCUGUGCCAGCAGCCGCGGUAAUACAGAGGGUGCAAGCGUUAAUCGGAAUUACUGGGCGUAAAGCGCGCGUAGGUGGUUUGUUAAGUUGAAUGUGAAAUCCCCGGGCUCAACCUGGGAACUGCAUCCAAAACUGGCAAGCUAGAGUAUGGUAGAGGGUAGUGGAAUUUCCUGUGUAGCGGUGAAAUGCGUAGAUAUAGGAAGGAACACCAGUGGCGAAGGCGACUACCUGGACUGAUACUGACACUGAGGUGCGAAAGCG
This 729-nucleotide ribosomal RNA is filed under the name uncultured bacterium. RNAcentral describes it as "bacterial SSU rRNA". It matches the Rfam family "Bacterial small subunit ribosomal RNA", at positions 37 to 761 of the family's 1533-position model. The record is from RNAcentral.